Molecule: ribosomal RNA, 115 nt
Filed under: Rhodospirillaceae bacterium
Lineage: Bacteria; Pseudomonadati; Pseudomonadota; Alphaproteobacteria; Rhodospirillales; Rhodospirillaceae
Source: RNAcentral
CUUGGUGGACAUAGCGAGGGGGACACACCCGAUCCCAUCCCGAACUCGGCCGUGAAGACCCUCAGCGCCGAUGGUACUGCAUCUUAAGGUGUGGGAGAGUAGGACACUGCCAGGU